This 232-nucleotide ribosomal RNA is filed under the name uncultured bacterium. RNAcentral's name for it is "partial 16S ribosomal RNA". It matches the Rfam family "Bacterial small subunit ribosomal RNA", at positions 100 to 334 of the family's 1533-position model. The record is from RNAcentral.
CGGGACGGGUGAGUAAUGUCUGGGAAACUGCCUGAUGGAGGGGGGUAACUACUGGAAACGGUAGCUAUACCGCAUAACGUCGCAAGACCAAAGAGGGGGACCUUCGGGCCUCUUGCCAUCGGAUGUGCCCAGAUGGGAUUAGCUAGUAGGUGGGGUAACGGCUCACCUAGGCGACGAUCCCUAGCUGGUCUGAGAGGAUGACCAGCCACACUGGAACUGAGACACGGUCCAG